AACGAACGCUGGCGGCAUGCCUAACACAUGCAAGUCGAACGGGACCUUCGGGUCUUGUGGCGCAGGGGUGCGUACCGAGUGGGAACCUGCACUUAGGUUCGGAAUAACUCACCGUAAGGGGUGCUAAUAACGGUUAAUGUCAUCGGACCAAAGAUUUUUCGCUGUGGGAUGGGCCCGGGUUGGAUUAGCUGGUUGGUAGGGGACAAGCCUACCAAGGGGACGAUGCAUGGCUGGUCUGUGAGGAUGACAAGCAACACUGGGCCUGCGACACGGCCCAGUCUCCGAGGCGGGGGAGCAGAGGGGAAUAUUAUACAAUGAGCGAAAGCCUGAUCCAGCAAUGCCGCGUGUGAGAUGAAGGGCGUAGGGUUGUAAAGCUCUUUUACCCGGGAUGAUAAUGACAGUACCGGGAGAAGAAGCUCCGGCUAACUCCGUG
RNAcentral lists this ribosomal RNA (433 nucleotides) under uncultured bacterium. Its description in RNAcentral is "partial 16S ribosomal RNA". It matches the Rfam family "Bacterial small subunit ribosomal RNA", at positions 29 to 507 of the family's 1533-position model. The record is from RNAcentral.